Molecule: microRNA, 22 nt
Filed under: Brassica rapa (field mustard)
Lineage: Eukaryota; Viridiplantae; Streptophyta; Magnoliopsida; Brassicales; Brassicaceae
Description: bra-miR1885a
Source: miRBase by way of RNAcentral
CAUCAAUGAAAGGUAUGAUUCC